UACAGAGGUGACAAACGUUGUCCGGAAUUAUUGGGCGUAAAGGGCGCGUAGGUGGUUGAGUAAGUCAGGUGUGAAAGCUCUGGGCUUAACCCAGGAAUUGCAUCUGAUACUGCUCGGCUUGAGUACGGUAGAGGAGGGUGGAAUUCCCAGUGUAGCGGUGAAAUGCGUAGAUAUUGGGAGGAACACCGGUGGCGAAGGCGGCAUCCUGGACCGACACUGACGCUGAGGAGCGAAAGCCAGGGGAGCAAACGGG
Molecule: ribosomal RNA, 253 nt
Filed under: uncultured bacterium
Lineage: Bacteria
Description: partial 16S ribosomal RNA
Rfam family: Bacterial small subunit ribosomal RNA
Source: RNAcentral